RNAcentral lists this long non-coding RNA (285 nucleotides) under Ananas comosus (pineapple). RNAcentral describes it as "long non-coding RNA (ACOM_LNC019613)". The record is from RNAcentral. Lineage: Eukaryota; Viridiplantae; Streptophyta; Magnoliopsida; Poales; Bromeliaceae.
ACAUUAAUGUUCAAAUUUAAUAUUAAAUUCAAAAUUUUAAAUAUAAAUUUAAAAUUAAAAUUUAAAAUUUAAAAUGUAAUUAUCGGUUUUAAUUUUUAAAUUAUAAAUCUCAAAAUUUUAAAUUUAAAUUUUUAAUAUUUUAAAAUUUUAAAUUCAAUUUUAAUUUUAAUUUUAAUUUUAAUUUUAAUUUUUAUUCUUAUUUUUAAUUUUAAAGUUUAAAUAUUUAAUAUUUUAAAUUUUAAAUUUAGAUUAUAAAUUUUAAAUUGAAAAUAUAAAAUUGAUAGG